UACAUAGGGGGCUAGCGUUGUCCGGAAUCAUUGGGCGUAAAGCGCGCGUAGGCGGCCCGGUAAGUCCGCUGUGAAAGUCAAAGGCUCAACCUUUGAAUGUCAGCGGAUACUGCCGGGCUAGAGUCCGGAAGAGGCGAGUGGAAUUCCUGGUGUAGCGGUGGAAUGCGCAGAUAUCAGGAGGAACACCAACGGCGAAGGCAGCUCGCUGGGACGGUACUGACGCUGAGGCGCGAAAGCGUGGGGAGCGAACAGG
Molecule: ribosomal RNA, 253 nt
Filed under: uncultured bacterium
Lineage: Bacteria
Description: partial 16S ribosomal RNA
Rfam family: Bacterial small subunit ribosomal RNA
Source: RNAcentral